This 223-nucleotide RNase P RNA is filed under the name Enterococcus faecium. RNAcentral's name for it is "partial RNase P RNA component class B". It matches the Rfam family "Bacterial RNase P class B", at positions 1 to 224 of the family's 365-position model. Rfam says of the family: Ribonuclease P (RNase P) is a ubiquitous endoribonuclease, found in archaea, bacteria and eukarya as well as chloroplasts and mitochondria. Lineage: Bacteria; Bacillati; Bacillota; Bacilli; Lactobacillales; Enterococcaceae. The record is from RNAcentral.
GUUUUCGGGUAAUCGCGGUCUGACUUGAUCAGGCUGAGGAAAGUCCAUGCUCGCACAGGCUGUGAUGCCUGUAGUGUUCGUGCUUAGCGAAACCAUAAGCUAAGGUACUCUUUGGAGUAACGGCAGGAAAACAAGCUAAGGCUUCGGCUAUGCUUAAGUAUCCUUGAAAGUGCCACAGUGACGAAGCGGCUGGGGAAACCCAUCCGGUGGAACGCGGUAAACC